CACCAUUUGUGAUUUUUGUUUAUCUUCUUCUUCUAUUUCCCUCAACCGACUCUUCCCCCACACUGCACCUCCAAACAACGCAGCCCCUCACCCCUCUCUCGGCCACAAACAAAACUGCAAGCCUCCCUCCUCAGCAGACCCAACAGCCACUUUCCUCCCCCCACACGGUUUCAAUCUCCAUUUUCGCCAAAACACAAACCAGGCCACACCCAUCCGCAGCCUCCCUCUCUCGGUUCUCCCAGAAGCAGAGGUCGUUUGUUGCCUCCAUAGUCCCAGCCACACCAGCUCACUGCCUCCAGCAGUCUUCGUCAUCUCCUUCGGCGCCGUCUCCAGCAACCUCGCCCAGCAGCAGCGUCGGUCCAUCCCAUCAGCGCCGUUCGAAGAUCCAGCAACCAGCAGAGGAACGAAAACAGAGGCGAGAUCGAUCUGAAGAAGGAAAAGAACCGAUCUGCUUCUGCAGAUAAAAAAGAAGCAGAUCUAUAACGGGAAGAAAAAAAUUAAAAUCGACUGGAUGUGGGGUUUUUGUUUGAGAUUUGCAGGUGACAGACAGUAGGGGAUUGAAGAGAGGAAUAAGCCAUUACAGCCCCCCCCCCAUUUUCGGUUGUUUUCACGGCGGCGCGUGGACCCACGCGCCGCCAGUGGCGGUGGUGCGUGAGGUCCACGCGCCGCACUGUUACCGAGCCCAGAAACCAUGACGAACACUGUUCCCGCUGCAGAAGUCCCUCCUUGAAAUUUUUAGAACUUUAGGGACUGUUUCUUGUAACUUGUAAAUUAAUUAAUGUAAUUUUUAUUUAUUUAUUUUGAAGUUGUAUUUGUAUUUUUAUUGGGAUG
This 831-nucleotide long non-coding RNA is filed under the name Populus tremula. RNAcentral's name for it is "long non-coding RNA (PTRE_LNC002066)". Lineage: Eukaryota; Viridiplantae; Streptophyta; Magnoliopsida; Malpighiales; Salicaceae. The record is from RNAcentral.